GACGAACGCUGGCGGCGUGCCUAACACAUGCAAGUCGAACGAAAAGGCCCUGCGCUUGCUCCGUUCUCGAGUGGCGCACACGUGAGUGAAACGCGUGUAACAUGCCCUUGUCUUUGGGAUAAAUUCUGGGGAAUCGGGCUCUUACACGGUAUAAGCUCCUGAUGCAUGGUGUUGAAUGGUAAAAUUCGGCGGUUGGGGCUGGACUCGCGGCUUCUCAGCUUGUUGGUGGGGUAGUGGCUUACAAGGGCUUUGACGGGUAGCCGGCCUGCGAGGGUGACCGGCCACAUUGGGACUGAGGUACGGCCCAGACUCCUACGUGAGGCAGCAGUGGGAAAUAUUGCGCAGUGGGCGGAAGCCUGAUGCAGCAACGUCGCGUGCGGGAAGACGGCCUUCGGGUGGUAAACCGCUGUCGCCUGUGACGAAGAGUGAGUGACGGUAAUGGGUAAGAAAGCACCGGCUAACUACGUG
This 468-nucleotide ribosomal RNA is filed under the name uncultured bacterium. RNAcentral describes it as "partial 16S ribosomal RNA". It matches the Rfam family "Bacterial small subunit ribosomal RNA", at positions 28 to 507 of the family's 1533-position model. The record is from RNAcentral.